ACCAGGAACCGUACCCCAAACCGACACAGGUGGUCGGGUAGAGAAUACCAAGGCGCUUGAGAGAACUCGGGUGAAGGAACUAGGCAAAAUGGCACCGUAACUUCGGGAGAAGGUGCGCCGGCUAGGGUGAAGGAUUUACUCCGUAAGCUCUGGCUGGUCGAAGAUACCAGGCCGCUGCGACUGUUUAUUAAAAACACAGCACUCUGCAAACACGAAAGUGGACGUAUAGGGUGUGACGCCUGCCCGGUGCCGGAAGGUUAAUUGAUGGGGUUAGCGCAAGCGAAGCUCUUGAUCGAAGCCCCGGUAAACGGCGGCCGUAACUAUAACGGUCCUAAGGUAGCGAAAUUCCUUGUCGGGUAAGUUCCGACCUGCACGAAUGGCGUAACGAUGGCGGCGCUGUCUCCACCCGAGACUCAGUGAAAUUGAAAUCGCUGUGAAGAUGCAGUGUAUCCGCGGCUAGACGGAAAGACCCCGUGAACCUUUACUGUAGCUUUGCACUGGACUUUGAGCCUGCUUGUGUAGGAUAGGUGGGAGGCUUUGAAGCGUGGACGCCAGUUCGCGUGGAGCCAUCCUUGAAAUACCACCCUGGCAUGCUUGAGGUUCUAACUCUGGUCCGUAAUCCGGAUCGAGGACAGUGUAUGGUGGGCAGUUUGACUGGGGCGGUCUCCUCCUAAAGAGUAACGGAGGAGUACGAAGGUGCGCUCAGACCGGUCGGAAAUCGGUCGCAGAGUAUAAAGGCAAAAGCGCGCUUGACUGCGAGACAGACACGUCGAGCAGGUACGAAAGUAGGUCUUAGUGAUCCGGUGGUUCUGUAUGGAAGGGCCAUCGCUCAACGGAUAAAAGGUACUCCGGGGAUAACAGGCUGAUACCGCCCAAGAGUUCAUAUCGACGGCGGUGUUUGGCACCUCGAUGUCGGCUCAUCACAUCCUGGGGCUGAAGCCGGUCCCAAGGGUAUGGCUGUUCGCCAUUUAAAGUGGUACGCGAGCUGGGUUUAGAACGUCGUGAGACAGUUCGGUCCCUAUCUGCCGUGGACGUUUGAGAUUUGAGAGGGGCUGCUCCUAGUACGAGAGGACCGGAGUGGACGAACCUCUGGUGUUCCGGUUGUCACGCCAGUGGCAUUGCCGGGUAGCUAUGUUCGGAAAAGAUAACCGCUGAAAGCAUCUAAGCGGGAAACUUGCCUCAAGAUGAGAUCUCACUGGGAACUUGAUUCCCCUGAAGGGCCGUCGAAGACUACGACGUUGAUAGGCUGGGUGUGUAAGCGUUGUGAGGCGUUGAGCUAACCAGUACUAAUUGCCCGUGAGGCUUGACC
Molecule: ribosomal RNA, 1309 nt
Filed under: Pseudomonas aeruginosa
Lineage: Bacteria; Pseudomonadati; Pseudomonadota; Gammaproteobacteria; Pseudomonadales; Pseudomonadaceae
Description: bacterial LSU rRNA
Rfam family: Bacterial large subunit ribosomal RNA
Source: RNAcentral